AGAAUUGGCUUCUGCAUUGAGAUCAGAAACAGUAUCCCCUGCAACAUACGUGUCACUUAUUACUGUUAUAUCCAAGAUUGACAGUCUUCAAAAUGAUAUCACAGCCAUUAAAUCCACCUGAUUAGUACUGUUGAUAUUGAUGCCGAAACCAAUGAUAGCCUGUUGCCAGACGGAAAGACGCUGGACUCGACUCAAGAUAUAGAGAGUUUUUAGGACCAUCUGGAUGACAACACCAAGCAGAAGUUGGUAAAUAAUUCAAGUUUUUUUCCACAGACAUUUGGGAAUACCUAUUCAAUAUAGGAAUAUAUAAUCCAAGUAGAGCAUUUGAAUGGGAACUUUGUAUUAUAUCAGAAAAUAACAUUUAUUCAACAAUCAACAACUAUUAAUUCAUAUUCUAAAGAGUAACCAAGUAUUCGGUGUUUUAGAACUUUAAUAUCUGUACUUAUAAGCGGAAGUGAAAAAUUCAUAAACCUUUUUGUAGUAAGCACAUUAAGAUGUCAUAGCGUCCUGUUCUCCUGUAGUUGCAUUGAUUCGGUCCUACACCAGGACAGUUGAAAAUUUCUGUAGUCAUAUCUUGAUUUUUUAAGAUUGCAUGUAUAUUACAAAUAAAUGCACUGGCAUCCUUGGGGAAAUAUGCCGCAUGAUAAUGAGGACUUUAAUGACAAACAACACCAUGAGUCAUUACAACGAAACUGGGAGGAAGGGGAAGUUCCGAUUUAUACACCACCGUACAAAAAUAAUACUCUAAAAGAGGAAACAAAAGACUAGAUGGAAUGAAUAAUGAAUUCCCAGAAGAGUCCGACUAAGACAUGCACCAAAUUUAGAAAGCUUUGGAGAUAUUUUUUGGUCACCUGAGUCAUUCAGAUGACCUAUUGCAAUUGACCAGUGUCCGUCGUCGUGCGAUGAAUGGAACAUUCUAAUUUCUUGAUAACUUCCACCCUAAUUCUUUUCAAAUUUGGUAUGCAUCAUCUUUAGGACAAAGGGGCAUAAAAUGUAAAUUUGAAGACUCUUGCACACCCAGGACCUUAGGGCAUGAGCAAAAAUUGACCAAUUUUCAAAGAUCGUCUUCUCUGCAAUGGCACAUCUGUAAGGAAAACUAAAUUCAUAGUGAUUUAGAGCAUGAAGGCCUCUGCCAAAAUUUUAAAUAUCGUGAUCCCUAGGGUAGAGGUUCUCACUCUAGGGCAGGGCCAAACUUGGCAUACAGUGUAUAUAUACAAAACAUUUCAAAAAUGGCUUUUUUGAUGCUAGUGAUACAAAAUUGAUAUUUAUAAGGAAUAAGGUAGUCCUUUAACUAAAAUUGUAAAUCUCAUAAAUGAAUGUGUAUAGGCACUUUUGAGGGACAUUUAUGUUUUAAGAACAUGUUUUACUUUAUAUUGUUGUUUAGCUUAGAUAUGUUGAACAGGAAUUUUUUAUAAACCUUUGAGGCUAGUGAUACUUUAACUAAUACUCAGGAGACUGAUGAGGUCUUUGGGACAUUUGUGUCAUAUUCUAUCUACCAGUAAUGCAUCUACAGUUUAUAUGAUUUUCAAAUAAAAUUGUUUAAGAAAGCUUA
Long non-coding RNA from Ostrea edulis (European flat oyster), 1552 nucleotides. RefSeq lists it as uncharacterized. Lineage: Eukaryota; Metazoa; Mollusca; Bivalvia; Ostreida; Ostreidae. The transcript has 3 exons. The record is from RefSeq and is a predicted model, not a curated record.